AUGAGUGUCCAGAAUGCUGUUGGAGAGUGAGGCAAAACAACUUUGACUACUCCAAGGUUUUGAAAAGAAGAGUGAGAGAGGGAACAGAGGAGGUCCUCAUUUGUUGGGUUCCAUGCAAGACCUGUGGGACCAAAUGGAAGGACUCCUGGGAGCCCUCCUCCCUUCUUGAAUAAUGAAUUUAAAUUUUUUUAAAUUUUGUAUUUUUUUUAUAAUGAAUAAAAUAACUACAAACAUAAACAAAGUUAUUGACUUGUUAUUCAUUGCCUAAAUUGUAUAUGCUAUAUAGAGUACAUACAGAUCUUUAGAAAUAACCUAAUUAAAAAUCCUGUGUUAAAUGUCAG
Molecule: long non-coding RNA, 341 nt
Organism: Cyprinus carpio carpio
Lineage: Eukaryota; Metazoa; Chordata; Actinopteri; Cypriniformes; Cyprinidae
Source: Ensembl